RNAcentral lists this long non-coding RNA (2519 nucleotides) under Cricetulus griseus (Chinese hamster). Its description in RNAcentral is "lncRNA (ENSCGRG00015033933.1)". Lineage: Eukaryota; Metazoa; Chordata; Mammalia; Rodentia; Cricetidae. The record is from RNAcentral.
CUUUUGGCCACACCAAGAGAAAAGUUACAAGUUCACAGUGAGGUAACUACAUUUUAAUGGUUGGUUUUGUGACCUUAUAGGCUUUGGCUAUGGAGUACAUUGUUUUAAAGUUAGUGAGUGAGGCCCUGUACACUGGACCUUUGCCCAGGGGAAAGAUGUUUCUAUGACAUUGACUUUUUAGAAGACAACAUGAAAUACAGAACCCAUGCCCUGACUUCGGCUGCACAGAGUUCCCUAGAAACUGAGAACAUUCUAGCCCAGAGGCCAUACAGUCUGCAUGUCUCCCAUCAAAUCAGGUUCGCAGGGCUCUGAUUGUAAGCUGGGAACUGUACUAGGCCCUGUGGAGAGGGUAAAUAGAACUUCUUGCUCCAGGAGAGCUUAUAUUUUUGUACUGACAGGAUAUUCAUACCCAAAGCUCUGCAUCCCAAAUCCAAUCCACAGCCCCUUAAAGGUACAAACAGGACUUGGAGGGAAGUGACUAAUCUCACAGAGACCAAAGGGUCUUCAGGGCUAUUGACUCAAGGCAUGCGGAAAAUAGGCAAUUCUGUGGAGAGUCAUUUUUCUCUCCAAAUUUAAGUGUUAUUAUUUAUUGCUUUGUUAGAAUGCAGACGUGCAGCUGGGUAAUAACUGGAGAUCAUGGGAGGGGCAUCAGAACACUGUGACAGUGACACCAAUAUUUACAUAGUCUCUGCCCCCGGUGUGCUCAGAGGCGCUUUACAUAGUUUUAAACUAUAAACAAGAAUUUUCUGUAACAUGUAACAUACCAUCUCCAGAGCAGACACAGUGAGAGUCCAAUAAGAUGGGAAGCAGGGUCUCACACACAGCCAGCAAGUGUUUGCAAUGCUAACAGCAUCCUUUAGUUACCCUAGGUUCAGCUCCCCUUUAUAUACUUAUUUGCUUGCUUGUUUGUUGAUUUAUUUAUCGCCUCUGCAUCUUGAUUGCCUGCUAUGGAAAAACAGUCAAUGUUCAAGAGAUUCUCAAGUGGCCACUAAUACCACACAAUCAGCCCCUGAGUUAGGUUGGAGCCACUGGACUAUGUCUAACAGAUGCAUAAUGACAAACGUGAACUGUGUCACUCCUGGGCAAUUUACGAUUCCAGGCUGAAGGGAUACCUCGGUCGUUAAGAGCAAAUACUACUCUUGCAGGGAAGCCAAGCUCUGUUCUCAGCUCCUGUAGCAGGCAGGUCAUAGCCUCCUACCACAGCAGCUCUAGGGGAUCCUAUGCCCUCUGCUGGCCUCCAUGAAUGCACGGGCACCUGCACUCAUGUGGACAUGGUCACCACAGACACACACAGGCAGACACAGAUACAAAAUAUAAAAGGAAAUAAUCUGUUAAAAUAAACUAAAUAUUCUACCAUUGCUAUGGAGAACUUGAAGACCACAUACAUGGAGACCAAAGAAGUCACAUGGAGACCCAAGAAGUCACAUGAGACCUGGGAGGUCAUAUGGAGACCUGAGAGGCCACAGGAGACCUGGGAGAUUCACAAAGAGCAGGACCAAGAGGAGCAAGAGCCCCAGUCACCAGCUGGGUAACAGAUUCUACCUAGCAUUCCUCAGACUCUGUAUGUGGAAUUAAUGUGCUGUGCUAAGCCACUCGGGUAGCAAGGUUUACUGUCAGCACAGCUCUUCCUAUCCUGCCAUACACAAUCCAUCAGCCAUUCUUGCCUCAGCAGUUAUUACUGGCAAAGUCCCAAUUGCUCACAGUUCCUUCUCCAUGUGUGUACAUCCUCAGGGUGACUUCCUCUCCAGCACCAAGAAGAUGAGUCCUGAGUUGAUCUCAGCCAAUCAUGGUCCUUGGCAGGUUCAGAAGGCUCUGGCAGCUGAUCUACCUCUGAACAGGGAGAAAUAACUUUUUCUUGGUAAUUUCAGGAAAGGCUUUCUCCAACAUGGUCCCCUACACACGUGCAGCUCUAAGGCUAAGGGCAGAGUCUACCUGGUGAGAAUGGCAGGGAAGACAGAAGGAAAGCGUGUGAGUUCUUGAAAUAACUCAUGAGCCAUAAGCCAACCAAGCAACUCUCACAACUGUGCUUUGCUGAGUUAGUUGUCUGAAAACUAUCUACCACUCAAGUCAGCAGUUUCAACCCAGCUGCAGGGGAUCUGAGAAGAGUUUUAGGUAUAGCCUUACCUCAGUCACGAGCCAAGAUCCUGUGCUGAUCUGCCCUGGAACCCAGACAUCAGCCCCAGAGAACAGACCGCUAUGGGAUACAAGGACAGCAAGCCAACCUUCCUGAUAGUUGUGAAACUGGAAGCACCGGCCACAGGACUCCUGCAAAUCCACACAUUCAACAUUUCCACAGGCAACUCUAUAAGCUCACACCCCACACUGCAAGAAAGUCCACACUGCAGAGAGCCAGCCAGAAGGACAUGGGCCACCUUCCCUCCAUCUGUCACUGCUCCUGGGCCUCACCCUCUGCAAACUAUGCAGACAACCCCCCCCCCCGAAUAACAGCUGUCCCUUCCCUUCAUCUUGCUUUUCUAGGAGUGGAAGGAGGGUCCUGACUUCUUCUGACUCCCCGUGUU